UCCCUGAUAGUUCAGUUGGUAAAGAAUCUGCCUGCAAUGCAGGAGACCCUGGUUCGAUUCCUGGGUUGGGAA
Non-coding RNA from Bos taurus (domestic cattle), 72 nucleotides. NCBI's taxonomy places the organism in Eukaryota, Metazoa, Chordata, Mammalia, Artiodactyla, Bovidae. The record is from Rfam.